This is an RNA transcript of Pelobates fuscus (common spadefoot toad), 3027 nucleotides long. It is a transcript of the gene named BCL3 transcription coactivator, with no coding region annotated. The record is from RefSeq and is a predicted model, not a curated record. NCBI's taxonomy places the organism in Eukaryota, Metazoa, Chordata, Amphibia, Anura, Pelobatidae. The transcript has 9 exons.
UGUGAAGCUGCUUCCUACACAGGCUGUCAGUGUAUGAGAUUGUGAGCCAGUGAGAGGGGGGACACCGGGCUUGUUAGAGAAGCUAGAGGAGUGAUGCAAGAAAAAGAAGGCUUGGGAGGAAAGAUAGAAAGAAAUCAACAGGGGGAGUGUGACAAUUAAGAAAAUGCAAUUGAUUGUUACUGUAUAAGAAAGAGACACAAAAAGAGACUGGGCAUAGUAAAGUGGAAAGGAGAACUGGAGGAAUUUUAGUAUUUAAAGCAUUAAGCAAAAAAAAUUGAGGGAGGUGGAAAGCUGGGGUUUAGGAUGUACACGUGCAGAGGAAAGAAAGGGAUGAGAGGAUAGAUAAUUAGCCUGAGGGCAGUGGAUUAACAGUGAAGCUACACAGAGGAGGGACGGCCCUAAAGGUAAAGUGAGGGGUUCAAUAAGGAAGAAAGAUGUCCAUAUAUGCCGUCUCCAUAAACAGGGGGGUGCAGAGAGUGAGGCUUGCAAGAGAGGGAUACCCAGUCAUUGAAGAACCAAGAACAUGCAAGUGAUCCAGAUCUGGGACAUAUAGAUGUUAAUACAAGAGGAGGCAUAUGAAAAUCCAGAGAGACUUGCUCCAAACAGAAAAGGGAGACAGACCCAACAAAAAGAGGGAGGUAAUGAGAUAGGGAGGGGUACUGAAGAAACUGGAGAAGGAGGAGAAGUCUAGACAAGUGACAAAAGAGGAGAAAGGGAGAAGAGUUCCAUAGAAGAGUUGGGUCUUUUGGCUCUUUUUGGUCCUUAACUUUAAAUGGAGUGACAUAACGCAACAUUGUCUGAUGGAUGCCCAUUACAACUCUUGCACAGGAAACAUGGAAACCUCAUAUCCCUUGGACCUCAGUAUCCGAAAAAGUAUGGAUAGGUUUGGUGCAAAUCCAAGGAGCCCUCAUAAAAUGUGGUCAGCGAGAGAUAUAAAAGGCUCACAGCCAUUCAAGAUGAACAACCUGGAGGGGGUGACCCAGUCUACUGAGGGACAAAAUGGUUCAGUUGAGGAUCCAGGACAUUGCAAGGACCAAACCUGCCUUCCCCUCAGAAAAAGAAGGUACCCACCUCCAUCCAAGGAUGAAAGACCAUUGACGACGCACAUGGAAGAUUAUCCAAGCUGGCCAAAGAAAUUGUGUGGCUCAUCAAAAAUUCAAGUACCACAGCCAUGCUACUACUCAGGGGACGCGCCUUCCUUUUUACAAUCUUUGUAUUCAUUUCCGAGCCAUGUCAUGCUGAACACACCACUUCUGCCAAUGUUGCUAAGCCCUGACCUGCAGAUCCAGGCAGAUAUCGAGGCAGCUACCCAAUCAGAUGAUGAUGGAGACACAGCACUGCACAUUGCCGUAGUACAUGGAAACAUUCAAGCUGCCCAGUGGGUGAUUUAUCUUCUCCAUCAGGGGCAUAAAAACAUGGACCCCGUCAACAAUCUAAGGCAGACACCCCUACAUCUUGCAGUAAUCACUGACCAGCCGGACCUGGUCUCUCUCCUUUUGUCAAAUGGAUGCUCGCCAAAAAUUCCAGAUCGCAAUGGACAGACAUGUGUUCACCUAGCGUGUGAAAAUGAAAGCAUAAACAGCUUGCGAGUGUUGUUAAAAGGGGGAACGUGGGAUCCAGAAGCAACAAACUACCAAGGUAUGACUGCAUUACAUAUAGCAAUCCGUACAGGACGCACAGAUGCCACUCAGUGUUUGCUGGAUAAUGGAAUGGACGUUGACGCUGUGGAAAUAAAAAGUGGCCGAACUCCCCUAAUCCAAGCCGUGGAGAAUGGGUGUGAGGAACUAGUAUGUCUUCUCCUCCAACGUGGUGCUCAAGUCAAUGCACAAACAUAUGCAGGCAACACAGCUCUCCAUGUGGCCAGUGGACGUGGCCUUGAAGAAAUUACACGAAUGCUGCUACGGAGUGGAGCAGACAGUGGAAUAAAAAACUGCCAUAAUGAUACCUCAAUAACAGUCGCAAAGAACCGAAGGAUUACAGAUAUCCUACAUGGUAAAUCCUCCUCUCCGCGGAAUCAGUAUGAUAGGCUCACCGAUGAACACAGCGACAGCUCGCUUACCCCAUCACCACAACCGCCACAAGUAAAAACACCCAGUUAUAAAUCCGUAAGUCCUCCACCUGGAAGACAGGCAACUCCAUUACUGUCCCUACCUCAAGAAGAUACAUUAAGACAUAUCAAAGUACCUGACUUAUCUCCAGCAAUUAAUGGGUCUAGCCAAAGACAGCUUGGUAGAGUCCAAUGUGAGGAAAAGACAUUCCAAUUUUAAGGGGAAAGACGUUAAAUUUUACAACUGCAGCUAUACAUGCUAAUAAGAUGUUCAGAGGGUGUUUUAAGAACUUUAUUCAGGGAUGUGGGCAAUUCAAUGCCAUCGUCAUGUAUACCUUAUGGAACAUGCCCGGGAACCUCCAAACAGCAAAAACAGAGGAUUGUGGUUACAAAAAAAAGUAGAACAAAAGAAAAGUUCCAUCAUUCUCUUUAACACGAUGUAAUGAGGCAGGUACCAAGCAACAACCUACCAUCAACCUGAGAAGAAAUAUACACACGUGUUUAAGUAAGAAUCCAAUCUACAGUGCCGGGACUGCAUGACGAGAAAUCCAAAUUAUUUUUAGUCUGUCCAUCACAAGUUUGGGAUUCAUUUCAGAAGGACUUCUAUGGAAAUUAAUCUAAUUCUGCAAGCGUGCAUUACUCCGUGGAUGCAUUAAAAGAAUUGCUUACAUGUGAUAAACUUUUUAACAAAACUAUUGAAUACUGUAUUCAAAAUAUAUGGAUAUUUUAUUGGAUGAGUAUGUUAACAAACUCAGAAAGACGACACAAAAAGUGGUCCUUUAAAUGUGUCAAGCUCGUGUCACUGUGUUAACAUGAGACCCAUCUAUCAUAUUCUCCUUCCCGAUUGUUAAAUGGUGCUAGUGAAGGCCAGCAAACAAUGGGAGUAUGUAUUAAGAAUGAAUGCAAUAUGCAAUCUUUUCUAACGAGGAUGCAAUUCCUUCUUUAAUUAUUGUAUAUCCUCUGAAAUUCCACAUCCCAUC